RNAcentral lists this ribosomal RNA (450 nucleotides) under uncultured bacterium. RNAcentral describes it as "partial 16S ribosomal RNA". It matches the Rfam family "Bacterial small subunit ribosomal RNA", at positions 338 to 795 of the family's 1533-position model. The record is from RNAcentral.
CCUACGGGGGGCUGCAGUAAGGAAUAUUGGUCAAUGCCCGGAAGGGUGAACCAGCCAUGCCGCGUGCAGGAUGACGGCCCUAUGGGUUGUAAACUGCUUUUGGAUAGGAAGAAUGGAUUGUAUUGAUAUGAUUUUGACGGUACUAUCAGAAUAAGCACCGGCUAACUCCGUGCCAGCAGCCGCGGUAAUACGGAGGGUGCGAGAAUUACCCGGAAUUACGGGGGUGAAGGCGGCUGUAGACGGCUGUAGUGAAAGCAUGGAGCUUAACUGCAUAAUUGCCUUCGAUACUGUAAAGCUGGAAUUAAGUUGAGGUUGGCGGAAUGUGACAUGUAGCGGUGAAAUGCAUAGAUAUGUCAUAGAACACCGAUUGCGUAGGCAGCUGACUGAGCUUAAAUUGACGCUGAGGCACGAAAGCGUGGGGAGCGAACAGGAUUAGAUACCCUGGUAGUC